Molecule: ribosomal RNA, 1050 nt
Filed under: Bacillus australimaris
Lineage: Bacteria; Bacillati; Bacillota; Bacilli; Caryophanales; Bacillaceae
Description: bacterial SSU rRNA
Source: RNAcentral
GUGUUUGAUCUGGCUCAGGACGAACGCUGGCGGCGUGCUAAUACAUGCAAGUCGAGCGGACAGAAGGGAGCUUGCUCCCGGAUGUUAGCGGCGGACGGGUGAGUAACACGUGGGUAACCUGCCUGUAGACUGGGAUAACUCCGGGAAACCGGAGCUAAUACCGGAUAGUUCCUUGAACCGCAUGGUUCAAGGAUGAAAGACGGUUUCGGCUGUCACUUACAGAUGGACCCGCGGCGCAUUAGCUAGUUGGUGGGUAAUGGCUCACCAAGGCGACGAUGCGUAGCCGACCUGAGAGGGUGAUCGGCCACACUGGGACUGAGACACGGCCCAGACUCCUACGGGAGGCAGCAGUAGGGAAUCUUCCGCAAUGGACGAAAGUCUACGGAGCAACGCCGCGUGAGUGAUGAAGGUUUUCGGAUCGUAAAGCUCUGUUGUUAGGGAAGAACAAGUGCGAGAGUAACUGCUCGCACCUGACGUACYUAACCAGAAAGCCACGGCUAACUACGUGCAGCAGCCGCGGUAAUACGUAGGUGGCAAGCGUUGUCCGGAAUUAUUGGGCGUAAAGGGCUCGCAGGCGGUUUCUUAAGUCUGAUGUGAAAGCCCCCGGCUCAACCGGGGAGGGUCAUUGGAAACUGGAAACUUGAGUGCAGAAGAGGAGAGUGGAAUUCCACGUGUAGCGGUGAAAUGCGUAGAGAUGUGGAGGAACACCAGUGGCGAAGGCGACUCUCUGGUCUGUACUGACGCUGAGGAGCGAAAGCGUGGGAGCGAACAGGAUUAGAUACCCUGGUAGUCCACGCCGUAAACGAUGAGUGCUAAGUGUUAGGGGGUUCCGCCCCUUAGUGCUGCAGCUAACGCAUAAGCACUCCGCCUGGGGAGUACGGUCGCAAGAUGAAACUCAAAGGAAUUGACGGGGGCCCGCACAAGCGGUGGAGCAUGUGGUUUAAUUCGAAGCAACGCGAAGAACCUUACCAGGUCUUGACAUCCUCUGACAACCCUAGAGAUAGGGCUUUCCCUUCGGGACAGAGUGACAGGUGGUGCAUGGUUGUCGUC